RNAcentral lists this ribosomal RNA (100 nucleotides) under uncultured bacterium. RNAcentral's name for it is "partial 16S ribosomal RNA". It matches the Rfam family "Bacterial small subunit ribosomal RNA", at positions 1403 to 1500 of the family's 1533-position model. The record is from RNAcentral.
CAUGAGAGCCGGUAACACCCGAAGUCAGGGAGCCGUAACCGCAAGGAGGGCACUGCCGAAGGUGGGAUUGGUGAUUAGGGUGAAGUCGUAACAAGGUACC